Molecule: ribosomal RNA, 245 nt
Filed under: uncultured bacterium
Lineage: Bacteria
Description: partial 16S ribosomal RNA
Rfam family: Bacterial small subunit ribosomal RNA
Source: RNAcentral
GACAGAAGGUGCAAGCGUUACUCGGAAUUACUGGGCGUAAAGCGUCCGCAGGUGUUCCUGUUUGUCCGGGGUAAAAUGGCGAAGCCUAACUUCGUCUUCGCCUUGGAAACGGCAGGAAUGGAGUCAUUCAGAGGCAUCUGGAAUGCCGUGUGUAGGGGUAAAAUCCGUUGAUCCACGGUAGAACGCCAAAAGCGAAGGCAGGAUGCUAGGAAUGUACUGACACUCAUGGACGAAAGCGUGGGGAG